GUGGUUCGUCACGUCGGACGUGAAACUCUGGGGCUUAACCCCAGACCUGCAUUCGAUACGGGCGUGCUUGAGUAUGGUAGGGGAGUCUGGAAUUCCUGGUGUAGCGGUGGAAUGCGCAGAUAUCAGGAGGAACAUCAAUGGCGAAGGCAGGACUCUGGGCCAUUACUGACACUGAGGAGCGAAAGCGUGGGGAGCGAACAGGAUUAGGUACCCUGGUAGUCCACGCCGUAAACGGUGGGCACUAGUUGUGGGGACCUUCCACGGUCUCUGCGACGCAGCUAACGCAUUAAGUGCCCCGCCUGGGGAGUACGAUCGCAAGAUUAAAACUCAAAGGAAUUGACGGGGCCCCGCACAAGCAGCGGAGCAUGCGGCUUAAUUCAACGCAACGCGAAGAACCUUACCAAGGCUUGACAUAUACAGGAAUAUGGCAGAGAUGUCAUAGCCGCAAGGUCUGUAUACAGGUGGUGCAUGGUUGUCGUCAGCUCGUGUCGUGAGAUGUUGGGUUAAGUCCCGCAACGAGCGCAACCCUCGUUCUGUGUUGCCAGCAUUUAGUUGGGGACUCACAGGAGACUGCCGGGGUUAACUCGGAGGAAGGUGGGGAUGACGUCAAAUCAUCAUGCCCCUUAUGUCUUGGGCUGCACGCAUGCUACAAUGGCUGGUACAAACGGCUGCAAUACCGCAAGGUGGAGCGAAUCCGAGAAAGCCAGUCUCAGUUCGGAUUGGGGUCUGCAACUCGACCCCAUGAAGUCGGAGUUGCU
RNAcentral lists this ribosomal RNA (758 nucleotides) under uncultured Actinobacteridae bacterium. RNAcentral's name for it is "bacterial SSU rRNA". It matches the Rfam family "Bacterial small subunit ribosomal RNA", at positions 575 to 1336 of the family's 1533-position model. Lineage: Bacteria; Bacillati; Actinomycetota; Actinomycetes. The record is from RNAcentral.